Molecule: ribosomal RNA, 253 nt
Filed under: uncultured bacterium
Lineage: Bacteria
Description: partial 16S ribosomal RNA
Rfam family: Bacterial small subunit ribosomal RNA
Source: RNAcentral
UACGUAGGGAGCAAGCGUUGUCCGGAUUCACUGGGUGCAAAGGGCGCGCAGGCGGGUUGGCAAGUCAGAGGUGAAAUCUCACAGCUUAACUGUGAAACUGCCUUUGAUACUUCCAAUCUUGAGUUAAAGAGAGGUUGAUGGAAUUUCAGGUGUAGCGGUGAAAUGCGUAGAUAUCUGAAAGAACACCAGUGGCGAAGGCGGUCAACUGGCUUUUAACUGACGCUCAGGCACGAAAGCGUGGGUAGCGAACAGG